UCUGAUCCAGCCAUGCCGCGUGCAGGAAGACUGCCCUAUGGGUUGUAAACUGCUUUUAUACAGGAAGAAACACUCGUUACGUGUACGAGCUUGACGGUACUGUAAGAAUAAGGACCGGCUAACUCCGUGCCAGCAGCCGCGGUAAUACGGAGGGUCCAAGCGUUAUCCGGAAUCAUUGGGUUUAAAGGGUCCGCAGGCGGUCAAUUAAGUCAGAGGUGAAAUCCCAUAGCUUAACUAUGGAACUGCCUUUGAUACUGGUUGACUUGAGUCAUAUGGAAGUAGAUAGAAUGUGUAGUGUAGCGGUGAAAUGCAUAGAUAUUACACAGAAUACCGAUUGCGAAGGCAGUCUACUACGUAUGUACUGACGCUCAUGGACGAAAGCGUGGGGAGCGAACAGGAUUAGAUACCCUGGUAGUCCACGCCGUAAACGAUGGACACUAGUUGUUGGGAUUUAUCUCAGUGACUAAGCGAAAGUGAUAAGUGUCCCACCUGGGGAGUACGAUCGCAAGAUUGAAACUCAAAGGAAUUGACGGAACGG
RNAcentral lists this ribosomal RNA (538 nucleotides) under uncultured bacterium. Its description in RNAcentral is "bacterial SSU rRNA". It matches the Rfam family "Bacterial small subunit ribosomal RNA", at positions 382 to 921 of the family's 1533-position model. The record is from RNAcentral.